CGCCUUAUACUCUUCAGUUUCAUGGCACAUUCGCUCCUCAGAUGGUAUGAGUGGGAAUUUGGUAUUAGCACUACCUUCCUUCUGAUCUCUGCUAGGAAAAAGCUCUGCUGCCCUUUGAGUUCUGACUUCAACAAAUUCUACCUUACCAGUUGAGGACUUAAACUUGAAUGCUGUUGAGCGUUCAAGGGGCGUCCCUUAUUUGGCCAUUGGUAAACAUCUCUGUGGGCCUGCAACUGAUUUGACACCGAGAUGUUGCCUGUCUAGCAAUGGAGUCAAGAUAGCAUGCAAGAUUGCAGGAGCAAUUGUAACCUUAAAGGCCUUGCAAUAGCAACAUGCUGUCAUCAUCUUUGUCAGUGGAAACAUUACACAAACAGAAAGUUCAUGUCCGAGUCCGGGAUCACCAAGGAACAAUUUCAUGCAAUGACAUGGUGGUUCACUAGCUGGGCAGUAGAUGCUGAUCAUGGUUCAGAUCUUUCUGAUUUUAUUGAUUGCAGAUUGCAUUCACAAUCCAAGCAAUCUCUUUGAACAUUUUGAUGCUCCUGAUUCUCUUCCCGUAAAUGGUUCUCUCUUCCCACUCUUCUGUAUAAGUAUUUCGGUAGGAACCUGUGAGGAUCCACAUCAUUUGAUGGACCAGCAACCAAAUCCAGAGCGGAUCACAUUAUGAAGAGUGACGAACAUCCCCAAAGCUUGAGAAUGCUGUGACUUGGAUAAAACCAGUGCAGGAUUUUAAUUCCUUAAUUAUCAGGGUUGCUUUAAGUAUGUCGGAAAAGAAAAGGAAUAAAAAAAUAAGAGAGAUAAAGCAUUGAAUUAACAUAAUUGAAAACGUGGCACGUGGAGAUGCGGGGGAUCGAACCCCGUGCCUCUCGCAUGCAAAGCGAGCGCUCUACCAUUUGAGCUACAUCCCCGGUUGUCGUUGUUUCCAAUAUUACAUUACUAGUAAUAAUAAAAAAGCACUGUCGUAAACGGAGGAAGGAAACCCAACCCCAUUCACCACUUCCUUUCUUACGUGUGCAUGUUAUCCUA
Long non-coding RNA from Populus euphratica (Euphrates poplar), 1023 nucleotides. RefSeq lists it as uncharacterized. The record is from RefSeq and is a predicted model, not a curated record. Lineage: Eukaryota; Viridiplantae; Streptophyta; Magnoliopsida; Malpighiales; Salicaceae. The transcript has 3 exons.